Molecule: ribosomal RNA, 391 nt
Filed under: uncultured bacterium
Lineage: Bacteria
Description: bacterial SSU rRNA
Rfam family: Bacterial small subunit ribosomal RNA
Source: RNAcentral
AGAGUUUGAUCCUGGCUCAGAGCGAACGCUGGCGGCAGGCCUAACACAUGCAAGUCGAGCGCCCCGCAAGGGGAGCGGCAGACGGGAUAGUAACACGUGGGAACGUACCUUUCAGUUCGGAACAACCCAGGGAAACUUGGGCUAAUACCGAAUACGCCCGUAAGGGGAAAGAUUUAUCGCUGAAAGAUCGGCCCGCGUCUGAUUAGCUAGUUGGUGAGGUAAUGGCUCACCAAGGCGACGAUCAGUAGCUGGUCUGAGAGGAUGAUCAGCAUCACUGGGACUGAGACACGGCCCAGACUCCUACGGGAGGCAGCAGUGGGGAAUAUUGGACAAUGGGCGCAAGCCUGAUCCAGCCAUGCCGCGUGGAUGAUGAAGGCCUUAGGGUUGUAAA